CAUUCAUGUGUAUGUGCUCUUUAUUGGCGAUGUAUUCUUGGUAGAAGUGGUUGAUAUUGAUGGCCUUCUCACCGUGGCUGGUGCGGAGCUGCUUGAGGAAGUCGGACAGGAACUCAUUGGAAUAUUGCUGGAUGUAUUUGCGCGGGUCCUCGCCGACAAGCAGCAUUUGGCGCACAUGUGAUUCUGACUGCGUGUGGCAUUUGAAGCCGUUCUCGUCACGCAUCUGCCGCUCGCAAACCUGGCAGUACCAUCGCAGACGUUGGAGGCCUUUGGACUUGAGCUUGUUGCUCAGGUACUUUGUGCUGCCGACUUCUGCGCGAGGCAUGGUGGGCU
This 333-nucleotide small RNA is filed under the name Histoplasma capsulatum. Its description in RNAcentral is "hypothetical RNA". RNAcentral also lists the same sequence under 1 other name. Lineage: Eukaryota; Fungi; Ascomycota; Eurotiomycetes; Onygenales; Ajellomycetaceae. The record is from RNAcentral.